Long non-coding RNA from Zonotrichia leucophrys gambelii, 3140 nucleotides. RefSeq lists it as uncharacterized. NCBI's taxonomy places the organism in Eukaryota, Metazoa, Chordata, Aves, Passeriformes, Passerellidae. The record is from RefSeq and is a predicted model, not a curated record. The transcript is spliced from 9 exons.
CAGGCUUCUGUGGAGUCUGUGCUGGGCUGCUUGGGUUGUCUGUCCAUCCAGCUCCUACAGGGAAGUUGAAUCGCCAUGAUACAUGAGCUUUCCUCUGCAGUUUAUCUCUGGCUCCUGUCUGUGUUCAGUCAGAUGUUGGGUCCUGCUCCCCUCAAUGAACAGGCAGUGGUUGCUCUGCUCAAACAACCUGAAGGCAUCCAGUGUCACCAGGAUCUGAUCCCAGCAGUUCAACAUAAUCACUGAAAGAGGAGAAAAUUGAGGAGAUUUCACUGGAACUGAGCAAGAGCCUGACAGCUGGCAAAUGCUAAUGAGCAUCUCCAUGGUGGUCAAAAACCACAGAAAUUGAUAUCAUCUCCUCUGACUACAAGUUUACAUGUGUUUUGCGGAAUGAAUGGCUUGGACAAAAGCACUGGUAAAUCACCUGAAACAAAACUGCCUGAUAGCUGUUAAUGGUCAAGAGAGAGAAGCCCUGCCAGGCUGGUUGGGAGGUGGAUGGAGAACACUCACCUGGGACAGUCCCCAUGUUGUGGGGCUUGGCUUUGCCAAGGGGGUCAAACAUCAAUUAGAGAGCCCAGAUGAGUAGGAUCAGCUCUUGCUUUAUUCCUGAGGACCUUGUUUGAGAUACGUUUUCAUAAAGAAGAGAAAGGACAGAAUGGAUGCUCUCCCUGUUUCAAUGAAAUACCUGCUCUCAGUCUGACUCAAGGGGCACUGGAAGGAACAGGAACAUGAUAUCUAAUUUCCUAAUUUUCCUGUCAGCUUUCUGGUUUUCAAAAUGAUUGCAGCAGGAAUCCAUAAAAUGAGGAUGAGGGAAGCAACCUUAAUACCAUUGUAAAUCUCCAAAAUGGAUGCAGAAACACAGUACUCAAAUAGGAGUAAAUAAAAGCAAGGAGAGAUUCAUUCCAGUUUUCUCCUCUGUAAACCUACUGGCAGCUUGGAAUUAUUCAGAAAACAACAUUUAACUGAGGAAAAAAAAGGAACCCUGUAAAAUAGUAAAGAUUGUACCGUAAAGCUAAGCACCCUCCAUAAAUCAUGGCUGGGAACAUUGCUAAGUUAUAGGAACCUGCAGAUGGCUGUCAUUAAAGGAAAAGAGCCUCUCCCAGCUUGGCAGGCCCUGCUGUGUCCUGUGUACAGCUACAAAUUGAGCUGCCUUCAUGGGGGAGCUGCAAAAGUGGUUUUAAAAUAGGAAUUUCAUGCAAAAGCUGGAUGAGCUGUUCAGCAAGGCUCAGGCUUAUUGCAAAUCCACAGUGGUAAUUUCAGGCCUGAUUUACAGGGGAUUCUAAUAAACCUCCCCUAUUUAAAAUGAUACAUCAAUAGUUUAUCACUAGUGCCUGUCUGAGGCAGGAGGAGAGGGUGUGGGGCACGGUGCCUCCAGUUCCAAGCCUGCAUUAUCUCUGCCAUGAACCAGGACAAAUCCUGCCUGGCCAAAGACAGGGCGAGCUGCUGUGGGUCCUGUCUCCAGCUGCUGUUUCGGAGUGACUCAGGACAGACCAGUGGGCUCUGAACAUUUCUGUGUGCUCACCUGGGCCAGCGCUGUUUUCCCUUUGGGAAGAACUCGUCUGGGGCUUCAACUCAAGGAACAGCAGGAGAGAUGCUCAAAACAAGCCUGCAAGGCUGAAAAUAGCACACACCGGCUGCUGCUGCUGCUUUCAAGAUAAAGAUGUCACCAGGUGAGCUCUUUUGGGAUUAUAUAUUAAGCCACACCGUGAUGCAGCAUGAGGACACUCCAGAGCCCCAGGCUGAGCAAGGCAGGUGUGCAGGGAUGUCUGUGCCAGUGCUGGGGGGCCCUGGGGCUGUGCUGGCUCCCCAGGAAAGGCUUUGCUGUGCUUCCCAGAGGGAGGAUCACACUAUCUGCUGUCUUGCCAGAGCCUCUAUGGAGGCUUAAUCCUCAACACCACCCUGAGGCACAAGCACUCCCUGCUGUGGUCCUGCAUGGGGGAUUCAGCUGCAGGUCUGGCAAUCAACAUAUCCAGAAUGUAACAAGACCUCCAGGAGCCUACUCUUCUUUGGAGGUUGGAAAUGUUUUGCCCAAAUCAGCCACACUUACCAGGGUUCAUGGUGUUUCAAGGUCACCACCUCUAACAAGGACAGCAGCCUUUCCUGAUAAAAAAUGGCACAACAGCUGAUGGCACUGAUUUUAAAUAUCCCCACCUUCAACCUUCCCAUUUCUGUUAUAUCAUUCUGAUUUUCUCAGCAUUUCUGCAGGACCAUACCUGCAGGUGCUGGGCUCACUGCCCACCAGGCCAAGGGCUUUCCCAGGUGCUAGUGAGACUCCCUGCAAAAGCUGUAGUCAAUGAUUUCCAGAAAUGAGGCCAGGAGGAACUGGAUCCCACAGUAUUAUUUUUCUUUUCUGUCUCUGGGUGAAUUGAAGAACUGCUCACUGCAUCUUUAACAACUGUGUUUAGCUCCUUGUCACGACCUCCUUUGUACAUCAGUAGAAAAGGCAUCACCAGCAGAUGCAAUUUCUUUCAGAGCUGGAAUUGUAUUUAUUUUACUGGAAUUGUACUCCAUUUGUCUGGUGGCAAAGGGACUGAGCAAUUUAUACUGGCAGCACUGAAUGUACUGAGAUUGGCAGUGCUUGGGCACUCAUGGCUUGUUACCCAAGGAAAGUUCAGAGCAUACUAAUUCAUCCCACCACAGAGCAGCAGUACAGGAGCUGUGCAGAUGGUAUCAAUCAGUCUUACAUUAGUAACACUCUAAACAUUUUUUAAGAUGGUAAAAGAUCCAAUAUAUCUGCUUUAUUCUGUUUCAUUGUGGGGUCCAGUUCUUCCUUUCCAUCAUACAAACAACUUCCAGGUAAUGGAAGGGAUAUUGCAUUCUCUAUUCACAAAUCACAGUUUGACCUAUUAUUUGUAAUUUUCAGUGCCUGCCUUCUUAUGCAGUGCUCAUAAAAUGAGAUUAGAGUGAUUUACAAUAGUGAGAAAUGGAACAAGACUAAGAGGAGAUGUGACUCAUUAGACAUAAUCCUGAGGCUGUCGGAAGGAGCCUGCUUCACUCAGGAAGAUGUGCUGCAAUUUUCCAAACCAGUCUAGGGGACUUAGAUGUACCUUUGAGGGCUUUCAGCACUGAAAACCAACAAAACCCACCAGUCCUAAUUUUAUCUGUUAUAGAAUCAAUCAAGAAAUUCAGAUCAAAAGCUCCCA